RNAcentral lists this ribosomal RNA (274 nucleotides) under uncultured bacterium. RNAcentral describes it as "partial 16S ribosomal RNA". It matches the Rfam family "Bacterial small subunit ribosomal RNA", at positions 523 to 796 of the family's 1533-position model. The record is from RNAcentral.
AUACGGAGGGUGCGAGCGUUGUUCGGAAUUACUGGGCGUAAAGGGCGCGCAGGCGACUUGAUAAGUCAGAUGUGAAAGCCCACGGCUCAACCGUGGAAGUGCGUCUGAAACUGUCUGGCUUGAGUACUGGAGAGGAAAGUGGAAUUCCUGGUGUAGAGGUGAAAUUCGUAGAUAUCAGGAGGAACACCGGUGGCGAAGGCGACUUUCUGGACAGAUACUGACGCUGAGGCGCGAAAGCGUGGGGAGCAAACAGGAUUAGAAACCCGGGUAGUCC